UCACCUUUGUCAUCAUCUAUCGGUUAGAAGCAAGUCACAGGUCUUGCCCACACUCAGUGAGAGGGAUUACAUGAAUGUGUGACCACCAGGAGAUGGUAACAAUUGGGGUCAUGAGGGGAUAUGACUGCUACAAUCUCCCAUCAUCAAAAACAAAAACAGGAAUCUGGCUGCUCCUCCUUGCUGUCUUUUGCUCAUGAAGCUGCCUAAAGGGUGACUCAGCACUAUGCAACUUCCAGGUACCAACUAUGAGAUGCCAAAGUCCAUCCAAAGGAUGGACCCAAGGCUACUGGAUCUUAAGGUUUCAGACAAGUGUGUGAGACUUUGUACAUGAAGUUGGAGAAUGCCUCACUCUCUACCCUGUACAGGGUUGUGAUCCAGAGCUGGAUUUCAGACCCCUGUUUCUACAGGAACUCUAAACAAGCCCAGACACUCGGCUGGGAAGUGAGAGACUCAAAACAACGUGAGAAGUAGAAAGCGGGCAAGUUUGUUGGGGCCAUAUGUAACUUCAUGAAUAUCACUGUUUCAAGGACUAAGUUAUAAGUUUUACCCUUUUCAGAUAAGGAAAACAGAGUGUGAGUGGGGUUAGAAAGAGGAAAAACAGCAAGCCAAGUUGAAUCACUCAUCCUGAGAGGCAUUCAAAUACAGAGUUAUGGAGAAAGCGACUUUCCUCCACAAGGGUAAACCCCUCAACAGCAGCUGGUAAACCUCAGUCCACAGCGCAGAGUCAACCGUCAGCCAACUCAUAGCUGAAGCAGGGACACUGUGCAGCUCUUGGAGCUUGUUCUUAGUAUGUGUUCAGAGGGCUAAUACUCUGUCAAGCAGGGCGGAUGAUAGCCAGAGCAAACAGCCACGGUCCCCACGGUGGAAAAUAACGU
Molecule: long non-coding RNA, 875 nt
Filed under: Homo sapiens (human)
Lineage: Eukaryota; Metazoa; Chordata; Mammalia; Primates; Hominidae
Description: HSALNT0324355
Source: RNAcentral